This 1408-nucleotide unclassified non-coding RNA is filed under the name Hevea brasiliensis (rubber tree). Lineage: Eukaryota; Viridiplantae; Streptophyta; Magnoliopsida; Malpighiales; Euphorbiaceae. The record is from RNAcentral.
GAUCUUUAGACAAAUUAUAUGCCUACAUAAAAAGGCUUCCAUAAAAGAAUGAAAAUUUUCUGAAACAUCUAAUAGAGGCAUCAUUGCAGAAGGGACCAGUAAACUGAAUAUGUCAGAACAUGUUCCAUUAAUACAACAGAAGGUGAAUGCACAUCUGGGUUUCAAAAGUCUUAAAAGCAGAAAGAGAAUCAUCGAAUUUUUGGACUCUGAAUUUUCUUCUUCGAUUACCCAAUUCAAAGUGAAAUCUAAUGUACCACUUUGUUGGAGGACAUUAGCAAUAUCCUUCCUACUUUAAUAAUUAAAGUUAUUCCUUGCAACUAAUCAAAAGAACAGGUAUCAGCCAACCUAGGCCUUUCACCUUCAACUUUUGGAUCCCAUGAUAUCAGAUUGUCAUCACCAGAAAAAGAAAGAUCAACAAUGUAAUAUGUAAGAUUUAUUUGCUUCACACUCCUUCCAUCAAGAUUCUGAUGCCAUUUGAUUUUUUUUUAAUUAAUUUUAUGCUUAAUUGUGCUAUAGCAUUUUGUUGCAUUCAAGUAUCAUAGCACUAGUAAAUGGAAGGAUAUCAAUCACAAUUAACAAAUCCAGCUGUGCCUUGCAAUAAAUGCCCAUAGAGCGUCGGAAGAACUUUGGCAAAAAAGUUACUAGGUCUAAGAUAUGAAGUAUGGAAUUCCUAAGAAACGAGGGUGAUGCGUUAAAACUGGUGAAGAAAAUUCAUUUGUAAUACAUUGAUUUCAACAAAUUCACAAUGGCUGAUACUUCCAAUCCUCAAACAUCAAUUACAUCACAUCAACAGCGCUACACUCGUGGAGGCAAUAAAGAAGAGAGAGACAAAAGGAGCGCUUUGAAUUUGUUUCACUUUCUGCACAAGCCUUGUUGAAUUUAAUUUUCUCUUCAUCUUCCAAGUUCUUUCUCUUUUGGUCUCUUCAGCAAUCUCGCUUUCAGCCCUUCCUCCCAACCCCCCAAAAAUGAAAAUCUUCCACCCACUCUAAGUCCUCUAGAUGAUGAUAUUGUCACAAAUGUAAAUCUUAAGUUUCAAUAAUUGUAUCCCCUUGAUGAUGAUACUGCCACUUUCAAAAUGCAAAAUGCAGUUUUAGAAGAUAGAUAGCAGCGUCUAAUUGGAGGCAAAGUAAAAGAGUGUUCCUUGUAAAAUAUUCAACUACAUGAUAGAAAGCAAUACGAUUAAAUGAUCAUUUUUUUAAUUAAACAUAACAAAUCAGCCACAAAGUUAUUUACAGACACCAUUAUGUAUAUACAUGCCCCCAUGCAUGCAUCUGUGUUUGUAAUGAACAGCCAAAAUUAUUGGUUCAUAGAUUGGAAAAAUUAAGAAACAGCUCAAAUUAAUCCCUUAUUCCCAUCAGAAAGGAAAAUAAGCCUAAAGAUAACAAAAGGAAAGAAGGGGAGGGGGGGG